UACGUAGGGUGCAAGCGUUGUCCGGAAUUAUUGGGCGUAAAGCGCGCGCAGGUGGUUUCUUAAGUCUGAUGUGAAAGCCCACGGCUCAACCGUGGAGGGUCAUUGGAAACUGGGGAACUUGAGUGCAGGAGAGAAGAGUGGAAUUCCACGUGUAGCGGUGAAAUGCGUAGAGAUGUGGAGGAACACCAGUGGCGAAGGCGGGUCUCUGGGCCGAUACUGACGCUGAGGAGCGAAAGCGUGGGGAGCGAACAGG
Molecule: ribosomal RNA, 253 nt
Filed under: uncultured bacterium
Lineage: Bacteria
Description: partial 16S ribosomal RNA
Rfam family: Bacterial small subunit ribosomal RNA
Source: RNAcentral